Molecule: non-coding RNA, 375 nt
Organism: Suncus etruscus (white-toothed pygmy shrew)
Lineage: Eukaryota; Metazoa; Chordata; Mammalia; Eulipotyphla; Soricidae
Source: the annotation of a RefSeq genome assembly
GUGGACAUGAGGGCCCCUGUGAAGCUCCUCAGCUUACUGCUACUCUGGCUCUCAGGUGCCAGGGGUGACAUCCAGUUGACCCAGUCUCCAUCCAUGCCUGCAUCUCUGGGAGAGAAAGUCACCAUCACUUGCAAAACCAAUCAAAAUAUUUACAAUGCGCUAUCCUGGUAUCAGCAGAAACCAGGGGAAGCUCCUAUGCUCCUGAUCUAUGGGGCCACCAAUUUAGAAACAGGGGUCUCUUCCCGAUUCAGUGGCAGUGGAUUUGACACAGAUUUCACUCUCACCAUCAGCAGCUUGGAGUCUGAAGAUGCUGCCACUUAUUACUGUCAACAGAAUUUUUUUACCCCUUCCACAGUGAUACAAGCCAGAACAUAA